GUCUAUGGCCAUACCACCCUGAACGAGCCGAUGUCUCAUCUCGGAAGCUAAGCAGGGUCAGGCCUGGUUAGUACUUGGAUGGGAGACCACCAAGGAAAACCAGGUGUUGUAGGCA
RNAcentral lists this ribosomal RNA (115 nucleotides) under Pteropus alecto (black flying fox). The record is from RNAcentral. Lineage: Eukaryota; Metazoa; Chordata; Mammalia; Chiroptera; Pteropodidae.